UACGAAGGGGGCUAGCGUUGCUCGGAAUUACUGGGCGUAAAGCGCGCGCAGGUGGGUGAACAAGUCGGAAGUGAAAUCUUGAGGCUCAACCUCGAGGCUGCUCCCGAAACUGUUCGCCUAGGGACUGGUAGAGGCUGGUAGAAUUCCCGGUGUAGCGGUGGAAUGCGUAGAGAUCGGGAAGAAUACCUGUGGCGAAGGCGGCCAGCUGGGCCAGAUCCGACACUGAGGCGCGAAAGCGUGGGGAGCAAACAGG
RNAcentral lists this ribosomal RNA (253 nucleotides) under uncultured bacterium. RNAcentral describes it as "partial 16S ribosomal RNA". It matches the Rfam family "Bacterial small subunit ribosomal RNA", at positions 524 to 776 of the family's 1533-position model. The record is from RNAcentral.